Molecule: ribosomal RNA, 534 nt
Filed under: uncultured Bacilli bacterium
Lineage: Bacteria; Bacillati; Bacillota; Bacilli
Description: bacterial SSU rRNA
Rfam family: Bacterial small subunit ribosomal RNA
Source: RNAcentral
CCAACAGAUUUACUUCGGUAAUGACGUUGGGAAAGCGAGCGGCGGAUGGGUGAGUAACACGUGGGGAACCUGCCCCUAAGUCUGGGAUACCAUUUGGAAACAGGUGCUAAUACCGGAUAAUAAAGCAGAUCGCAUGAUCAGCUUUUGAAAGGCGGCGUAAGCUGUCGCUAAGGGAUGGCCCCGCGGUGCAUUAGCUAGUUGGUAAGGUAACGGCUUACCAAGGCGACGAUGCAUAGCCGAGUUGAGAGACUGAUCGGCCACAUUGGGACUGAGACACGGCCCAAACUCCUACGGGAGGCAGCAGUAGGGAAUCUUCCACAAUGGACGCAAGUCUGAUGGAGCAACGCCGCGUGAGUGAAGAAGGUUUUCGGAUCGUAAAGCUCUGUUGUUGGUGAAGAAGGAUAGAGGUAGUAACUGGCCUUUAUUUGACGGUAAUCAACCAGAAAGUCACGGCUAACUACGUGCCAGCAGCCGCGGUAAUACGUAGGUGGCAAGCGUUGUCCGGAUUUAUUGGGCGUAAAGCGAGCGCAGGCG